AUUUCCAAAGCCCCUGCUGGCCGGGCCUUCACUCACCUCUAGCCUGGCCACGGCAAAUGGUGUGGCCCCCACCAUGUGCUGAGGGGUGACCCCGCUGACCCGGGUUCUGUAAUCGGUGAUCUCUCCCUCAGGCCGGAUGAACUUGUCGUACAGCACAGCACCGUGGACGUUCACGAGGCUGCAACGAGCCAGGCCACUCUCCCGGUGGGGCCCCAGCCCCACCAUCUCGCAGUCCAUGGCCACCACCUCACGGCUCCCAGCCAUGUUCCUUGGGGACCCUCAGAGAUGCUGGAGAGAGGGAGAAUAAACAUCCCCAGGACUGGAGCUCAGGGAAUGUCC
RNAcentral lists this long non-coding RNA (339 nucleotides) under Homo sapiens (human). RNAcentral's name for it is "non-protein coding lnc-DET1-4:1". The record is from RNAcentral. Lineage: Eukaryota; Metazoa; Chordata; Mammalia; Primates; Hominidae.